AUGUAUUCAUUUCCUGCUCAGGUACUUCAAAUGAUUCAUCGAGUUCCAAAAAUGGGACGAAGACUGAUGGCCAAUCUAUUAAACAUGGCAGCAUGGGAUCCAGUGUAGCAAUAAUAUGCCUUGUUAUUGUGGCUGUUGUGCUUUUAUCUUUUUUCCUAUUCAAGUUUUGGCAAAAGAAGAAGCGUGAAGAGCAGUACGCUCGCUUGCUUAAGUUGUUUGAAGAGGAUGAUGAGCUUGAGGUUGAGCUUGGUCUUCGGGAUUGAGCUUUUGUUCAUCUCUCAAUGUGUUGAACAUAACUGAGAUGUAAUUGGCAAUUCACUUUGGCGAAUUGUUGUAUGGACGCAAUGUGAUUAUGGGCAAUCGUCUACCCCCAUGUUGAAGUUCAUAUAUUUUAAAUUUCUAGAUUGUAGCAUAUGUAUCAAUAUGAGUGAAAUCAGGAAACUUGGGGUAUUCCCUUUUUGGAGAAUCAUUUGUUGACACGUGAUGAAUGACAAUCAAUGGUUGCAGCUGAAAUUGUAUGAUUGUACAUAUCUCAGCUUCAUCCUUGGAUAGAAUUGUGGCCCCGUAGUUGUAGAGAAGACGUGUAUCUCAUUGAGUUCUCCGAGAAAUCAAGAUUAUUUUUGCCAAACCUCAGUUUGGCAAUCCUGUAUGUAGAAUUCAAGUUAUUAUAUGCACAUCAUGUUUUGUUUGUUUGU
Long non-coding RNA from Coffea eugenioides, 695 nucleotides. RefSeq lists it as uncharacterized. The transcript is spliced from 2 exons. NCBI's taxonomy places the organism in Eukaryota, Viridiplantae, Streptophyta, Magnoliopsida, Gentianales, Rubiaceae. The record is from RefSeq and is a predicted model, not a curated record.